This 253-nucleotide ribosomal RNA is filed under the name uncultured bacterium. Its description in RNAcentral is "partial 16S ribosomal RNA". It matches the Rfam family "Bacterial small subunit ribosomal RNA", at positions 524 to 776 of the family's 1533-position model. The record is from RNAcentral.
UACAGAGGUGGCAAGCGUUGUUCGGAAUUACUGGGCGUAAAGGGCGCGUAGGCGGCCCGUCAAGUCCCGUGUGAAAGCCCCCGGCUCAACCGGGGAACGGCGCGGGAAACUAGCAGGCUUGAGUUCGGGAGAGGGAAGCGGAAUUCCGGGUGUAGCGGUGAAAUGCGCAGAUAUCCGGAGGAACACCGGUGGCGAAGGCGGCUUCCUGGACCGACACUGACGCUGAGGCGCGAAAGCGUGGGGAGCAAACGGG